GUCUACGGCCACGCCACCCUGAUCAAGCCUGAUCUCGUCUGAUCUCAGAAGCUAAGCAGGGUCGGGCCUGGUCGGUACUUGGAUGGGAGACCACCUAGGAAGACCAGGUGCCGUAGGCA
Molecule: non-coding RNA, 119 nt
Organism: Pteropus alecto (black flying fox)
Lineage: Eukaryota; Metazoa; Chordata; Mammalia; Chiroptera; Pteropodidae
Source: Rfam